GAGGUGCUGAACUAUUUGUAGCGGUUUUUUCCCUUGGCCCUACUUUUUGAUUCGGAAGCCGUCCCUGAUAAAACCGUGGUUUUGUUAUUAUGGCCUCCCCCUAGACAUUGUGUGCCUAGAGGAUCUUUACCCGGUACGGUAGAACGGCAUCUUU
RNAcentral lists this non-coding RNA (154 nucleotides) under Holosporales bacterium. Its description in RNAcentral is "6S RNA". It matches the Rfam family "6S / SsrS RNA". From Rfam's summary of the family: E. coli 6S RNA was the first non coding RNA to be sequenced, but its function was unknown until recently. Lineage: Bacteria; Pseudomonadati; Pseudomonadota; Alphaproteobacteria; Holosporales. The record is from RNAcentral.